CGAUGUUAUCGAUGAGUGUAAGCUAUUUUACUUUGCUGGGCAAGAGACUACUUCAGUUUUGCUUCUUUGGACAAUGGUUUUGUUGAGCAAGCAUCAAGACUGGCAAGCACAUGCAAGAGAAGAGGUUUUGCAAGUCUUUGGUGAUAAGAAACCUGACUUCGAUGGAUUGAAUCGCCUCAAAAUCGUAAGUAUAUAUAAUUUUGAGAUUUCAUUGUGAUCAACAUUUUCAUCAUACAAUUAAUCUUAAUAAUUCAAAUAAUGAGAAAUAUCAACAGCUAAAUAAUGUGAUAGUUUCAUAUUGUCUAUGCUGCCACAGCAGUUGAGAUUAAAAUGCUGAGAUUGUAGGCGAGUUCUCUAGUAUUAAUCAUUUUAAUCAUGUGUAUGAAUGUUACAGGUUCAAAUGAUCUUCUACGAGGUACUCAGGCUGUACCCACCUUUGCCUGUACUUUCUCGAUACGUUGAAAAGGAAACGAAAAUCGGGGACUUGAUAUUACCAGCUGAAUCAGUGAUCGCAUUGCAAACUCUCUUGGUUCACCAUGAUAAAAAACUUUGGGGUGACGAUGCAAAAGAGUUUAAACCUGAGAGGUUUUCAGAAGGAAUUUCAAAGGCAACAAAAAAUCAAGUUUCUUAUUUCCCAUUUGCAUGGGGUCCUAGAAUAUGCAUUGGGCAAAACUUUGCCCUGGUUGAAGCAAAAAUGGCCAUGGCAAUGAUUCUGCAGAAUUUCUCCUUCGAGUUGUCUGCAUCCUAUGUUCAUGCUCCUCAUGCGUUUAUAUUCCUCCAGCCACAACAUGGAGCUCACCUGAUUUUACGGAAAUUAUAGAGCUUUAUAAACUCUCAGUUGCAAAAUAAAAUUCUUAUGAUCGGAAAACAAUGUAUCAGUUAUGAUAAUAUAGUAUAAAUUUGAUAAAUUAAUACUUGAUAAAUUGAUAAUUUUGAUUAAAUAAUAAUUUUUUGGAUCCCAACUUGGGUUGAUCCUAAGUUGGGCAUGCAGUAAAUUAAUCAUUUGAUAAAUUAUAAGAUAACAAAAUUUUUUAAAAAAAUUAUUUUCUUAUAAGACACAUGUAUUAUAUAAAUUAAUAGAGAAGAUAUGUGUAGUUAUAUGAAGAGAAAUUCUAUAUGAACAUCAUAAAAUAUUGUUGAUUAUUCCAAGCAAUCAUAAGGAAUAGCCCAUAGAUAUCCGUAUAAAUGAGUUCUAACAUGUCCAAAGUCUUGUUGGCAUUAAAUCUCCUUUUAUUGGCUUGUUUCCCUUUUAUACAAUCAACAUAAGCAUUAAAAUCUAUAAAAUCUAAGGAGUAAAGAAUUUCAUCUAACCCAGGUCUUCUAUUCUCCAUCUGGAGAUAUAACCUAAUCUCUUUGUGCCUUAACAUAGCCGAAUUCUAAUUAGUUAAUUUUCUCUUUAUAUCUCGUGUACUUAGUUGUAGGUAUUCAUUAAAUAAAGCAAUUGUGUCAGUCAAAUAAAGAUUGUCAUGACCUGAGAAAGAACCGGAACCAACCAAUUUUGAGUUAUGCAACAAGCUGAAAUUUCUAUUCCCAAAUGAAUGAGAAAAAUCAGAUUUGUCCAAAGUAGGAAUAAAAAUCAAGUUUCAUAUAAAAGAAGGUACCAUGAAUGUUUCAUCAAAAUCCAAAUAGAAUCCAGUUUUUAAUAAUUAUCUACAUUUUUCAAUUGCUUCAACUUCAACCGUCUUGUCAUUACCUACAUAGAUAUAUCUUUCAUCAUCAUUGAGCUUUUAACAAUUUCGGCAACACUAUAUAGAGACACUUAUGUGAGUUUUGCACUAGAAUAUAUCCACCAUGUAUGAGUAGGUACUAAAGUUAAAUUAACCUUAGAACAAACCAAAUAAAAAAUGUUUUUUCUUAUGCCCUUUAGCUCCAGAGAAAGAAACAAUGAGUACUUUUUAGAUCAGUUAGUUAUUAUUAUUUUUUUUUGAGAUGUUGUAUUUACAUAUACCUUAUCGUUCUUUUUUUUUCUUUCCCUUGCCCAUAUACCUUAUUGAAAUUAAACUUGUAAUAGUGUAUUUAUUGCUGUUUUUUUUCACUUUUAACAAACCUAUUUUUAAUGUUCGCAAAGAACUCUGCAGCCGUAGUUAUCUUUUCAAACAUAGAGCCCCUAAAUGCAUUUAGAAUGGUUUUCUUUGUGAUAAUUAUACACACACGAUUUGAUUCUCCCAACUUUUCAAAUCCUUUUUUAUCAUUAAAAGUAGAGCUGGCAAAAUUUGACACGACCCGAUUACCCGAUACGAACACGACAUAAAUAAAUGGGUAUGGGUCGUCAAAUUUAACACGAUUAUUAAAUGGGUCGGGUCCGGGUCAACACGAUUUUUUUCUGUGUCGGGUUUGGGUUAAAAUUCUUGACCCAUUUACCCGAUCAAUGACCCGAUUAUAUUUUCUAUUUUAAAAUAAUUUACAUAUUCUUAUAAUUAAAACUCAAAUAUUAGAGAUAAUUUUUUUUUAUUCUUUAAAAUGAUGAAUAUAUGAAUAUAAACACAGUGUUUUAUUUAUAAAAUUUUACAUACAUUUAGAGCUUCAAUAGUGUAAAUGUGUAAAAAUUGAUAGACAUGUAUAUUUUAUAAUAUUGAUAUAUAAUAUUAUAUAUAUAUAUAUAUAAUUAAAACCUCAAUAGUGUAAAUGUGUAAUAUAUUGGUAGAUAUAUAUAUUUUAUAAUAUCGAUAAAUUAUGUAUGUAUGUAUUUAUGUACAUACGUAUGUAUGAUAGUGUGUAAAUAUUUUAUGUAACUUUUGUUCAAUAUAUAGAUAUUAAACGGGUUAUUGGGUAACCCGAUUAUUUUUCCGUGUCGGGUUUGGGUUUCAAUAUUUUGACACGAUUAUUAAAUGGGUCAGGUUUGGGUCGACCUAAAUUUGACACGACACGAAACUGACACGACACGAACACGACCCGAUGACCCGUUUUGCCAGUUCUAAUUAAAAGUACUCUCAUGCGUAAGAGAUGGGGGAGAAUCAACCUCUAGCGCAAAGUCGAGAUCCAUGACUGUGAGAACUAUUAAAAGAUUCUUUUAUCAUGACUUGAAAUUAAAACCAUUCAGCGUAGGAAUAAAAUUGAUGUUGGCAGUGAUAUUAGUAAGAGUCGUCACUUAACAUAGUGUAGUAACUUGUCAGUUCUUUCACCUUAAACAAAACUAGUUACUGCCCAAGAUUUCUUAGAUCAGAUCAAACACAAGUUGCACAAUGCUUACGAUCGAAUAGAAUCUGUCACAGCUUAAGUAAUCAAAUUGGAUUUAACCAAGCACCAGAAAGAACCAAGAAUCAAAAGAUAAAACCAACCAAGAACCAGAAAGAUUACGUGGUUCAACAGAGCACAAAGCACUCUGUUUACAUCCACGGGAGAAGUCUUUGAUGAGCUUUUAUUGAUUCUACAAUGGAGAUCUUACACAGAGCCUUUACAAGAUUCUAUUCGAGAAUAAGAUUCACUCUUUCUCUCUCUAGAACUCUCUCUACAAGACUCACUCAGAACCAUGCUUUGCUGACUCUCAUUCUCUGCUUUUAUAAUCUGUUGCAGAGUCCAAGAAGGAAUUUCCAGAUCGUUCAGUUUGUUAACACGUAGAUAACAAACUUAACGAAUGCUUCCUUACGUGGUCACUUAAGUGGCUUAUCUAAAACGCGCCUCAGAUACGUCGUUUAGAUGCAUUUAAUUUCUGCUGAGAGCAGCUGAGCUGCACGUGAGUUUCUUAAGCAAUUAGAAGCCUUAAAACGUUGCCGUAUUUCUGAAUUCAACUUAGAUUCAUUUCUCAGCUUCACACAUAGUAUAACAUACCAAUAAAACAAACUCAUAUAAGUUUCAAAACAAAAAUAAAUUUAAAUAAAGGUAAACCCCUUCUUAAGAUAUCAGACACUUUAUUAAUAUUUCAUCUUUGGACAAAUAUAUUAACUUGUAAGUGAUAUCUUACUGCAGUAAUCAAACAUUGAUAAUAAGAACAUGUCCAAUAAUAAAUCUUCCUUUGAGGCGAUUUAUUGUUCACAUAUAAAACUGAAUAAUCAUUACAUGUUUAUUACUACAGGUGCAUAUGUAAUUAUGUUAAAUAUGAACCUUCCUUUGGGUCGAUCGAUGUUCACAAAAAUUACACAUAUACAACUAUUUAUAUUCCAAAACAAAUUAAUUUCCACGAGAGACGUCACUUUGAUAUGUAAUUCUGUUAAAUAUGGACAUUCCUGUGGGUUGCUCGAUAUUCAGAAAAAUUAAACAUAUACAACAAAUUAAUUUCCGCAAGAGACGUCACUUUGAUAACAUGUUCCUUCAAUUAAUUCAUCUCAAAUUAUAAAUACACAUACCAAUAUUUAAAUUUAAAAUUGGAACAAAAAUUACUAUUAAGAAAAAAAUUUAGGUCAAAGUUAAAGUCAAUGGUCAAUGAUCAACUGUUGACUAUUCCCCAUUAACUGGUCGAGAUUGGAUAAAGUUGGUAUCCAAAUCCGACUAAACCAGCCUAAUCAGAUUCCGUUCUCCCUUUUUUUAUGUUCAUGACGCUGCUUUUUCUCUAACUACUAUUGUGGCGUGGCCGUGCCUUGCCUGAGCUGCAGCUACUGGGCACAAAAACUUGAAACAGAAAAGGAAAAAAUUAAAAUUCCAAUUUUUUUAAUAUUAUUUUAUUGAGUUUCUUGAUUUAAUUUUCUUAAUAUCAGAAGACAAGCAUCAAUUGUUUUCAAUGAUUUAACAUGAAGAGAUUCUGAUACCGUUUGUUAGAAAAUAAUCAAGUUUUGACGAAAAUUGUCACCUAAAUUACAGGAACAUUCAUGUUGUAUCACUAAAAAUCAAUAAUUGAAUAUGCGGAAUUAUAUUUAAAUCUAUAAUGAUUAGUUGCUCUUUAGAGUCGUGUGAUUUGCCUUCAGAUCAACAUGUUUUCCAUAGAGAAUCCUUUAAAUUUCUUUGUAUAUUCUUUCUGAUAAUGGGAUGUCUGAAAAUAAUAGAAUGUACAUAUGACUUGGGGACUACAACUACUUAUAUUAAUAACUUUUUUUAUUAUCUUUAGGUAUUCCUAUUUCAGCCUGUCAUAGAAAUAGAAAUUACAUUAAGUCUUUACACAUUAAAGACUCAUACUACAUUAAAUAUAUUAAAGUCUAAAUUACCGAAAAUCUUAAUAGAUUAUUAUUAAUUAUGGUUUAACCUUAUAUGACAGUUCGUAAUAAAUAAUCAUUCACAUAUAAGCCCAACAUUGGAUUAAGGAUCCAACAACUCUCCUUCCCAUGUCAUCAAACACCUUCCAUUAAAAGAGCAUAACCUUUUAGACAACUAAAAGGUAAAGCUCUUCUUCACCAAGCUACCACAAGAGUAAACCGAAAGCAAUCCAAAAAUCAAAAUGAACCCAUCGGUCCAUCACCAAAUUGACAUAUAAUUCUUCACAGAACUAGCCCUAAUUGAAGGAAAUUAAAAUAGAAUCAAACCCAAAUUUGCAUUUUUUAUGCUUGUUUUAGAGAAGGAAAACAAUGUUUUUGAUGUGAAAUUUUUUAAAUUUAAAAAAGCAUUUGGUAGCUUGUUUUAAAAGAUUAUAUGAAAAUGAAUCAAAUUAUAACUUUCAUCAUUCAAUACAAUAUAAAAAGUAAUGAGAAUUCGUUUGAUAUAACGUUCAAUAAAACACAUUUUCCAACUAUUCAUCAUUCAAUACAAAUAGUAUUCUUUUUUUUUAUUUUGUCUAUUAUUAUUAUUAUUAUUUUUAAGAAAAUAAAAUACAAAUGAAUCAAAUUAUAACUUUUUUUAACUGUAGUUUAUUUAGGGCAAUUUGAACUUACAAUCCAAAAAAUACUAUAAAAAUGUAAAGUACAGAUUAUUUUCGCAUCCACAUAUGCCUAAUUAUUUACGUGUCAGUAGCAAUGGCCAUCACUUAGAGCAUUGAAGGAUAAAAUAAAAAAAGAGAACAUCAUCCUAUUAGAUAGACGACACAAGUAAAUCACACCAUACUACUUACAGACCAAUUUUUUUACAUUCAUUUAUUCUUUAUUUUUGAUUAAAUAAAAUUAAUUUAUGAUUAUCACUAUAUAUUUUUUUAAUUUAAUAAUUAAAAGCUGGGCACGUAUUAUGUAAAUUACUUUUAUUCAUUAAAAUACUUUUAGGAAGCUCGCAGGGAAAGAGACGGAAUUUUCGUGAAAAAAGAAAGAAAGAACGUGAAAUGAGAUUUGUAUGUGUCCCGAGAAAGACUAGGGAUGGCAAUGGAUUGGAUCUGAUCCAAGAUCCACGUGAUCUAAAUCCAAUCGGAUCAGAUUUGGAUCAGUUUAAAAUGGAUUUGGAUCGGAUUUGGAUAUCAAUGUGCGGAUCUAAGACGAAUCUGGAGCAGAUAUGAAUCUAUCUUAAUAUCUAAAUCCAUAUCCAUAUCCACUCAUCUUUUAAUUUUAUUUUAUUUUAAAAAUUUCUUAACAAUUGUGGAAUUAUAAUGAUAAUAAAUUUUAUUCAUAGCAUAUUAGUAGUAUUUACCAUGCAUUUAAACUCUUAAAACUUAAAGGUUAGUUUUAUAAAUUUAAAGGUCAACCAGCCCCAAAGCAUGUACAUGCAAUAUUCAAAUUGCAAGCCAAGUAAUAUAACCUAGCAAUUUAUUUUAUUAUAUUGGCCAAGUAAUUUUUAAGGAAUAUAGUUAUUCAUAUAUUUAGUCAAAUAUGGUCAUAAUAAAAAUAAUAAAUGACUGAAUAUAAAUCAUAUUUAAUUUAUAUGUCAUUAUCUAAUGUUGUAGGAAUGAGGGUAGGUGUAUCAUGGAUAUUAGAAUGAUGAAGGAGACAAUAGAAUAUUAGAUUGAUCUUACUCCUGCAAUUACUUCUGAAUGAUAUUUUAUUAUCUUUCUUAUUUGUUGUUUUGGUGUAAAAGUAUAAGCUACAAUAUUUAUUAUAUUUCUGAGAAAAAUUAUAUAAUUUAUUUGUUAUCAAUACAUUUUAACCUUCAAUUUUCAAUCUAAAAAAAUAUUAUUUUUAUAUUACUGAAUUUUAGUAUUCAUGAUGGACUAGAGCAGAUUUGGAUUUUAAUUUUUUUUCGGAUUUGGAGCAGAUAUAAAUAUUUAUUUCUUUUUUGGAUCUGGAUAUGGAGAGAAAAAUAUGGAUUCAUGACGGAUCUGGAGCAGAUACGAAUCUUGAUUUUUAUUAUGAAUUUGAAUUUAGAGUAGAUUAGAUCCAACCCAUAUUUAUCCCAUUGCCAUCCCUAAAAAAGACAAACAACUGACAUACAUCCCUUUUUUUUUUUUUUUUUUUUCGUUGUUCGUGGCCACCGAGCAUAUUUUCUUAAUUUUUGUUCUUGAAAACGAAAAACAGCAAGUGAAAAACGUUUCCCAACAAUCCUUAACGUCGCACUCAAUGCAAUAAGUGAGUCUUAAAAUGAUAGCCACGUGAUACCAUGUAAUUGAUUUUUUUUUUGAGAAUACCAUGUAAUUAAUUAAAUACAUAGUUUUUCAACAUUUUUUCUAUGGAAUCAUAUAAGUAGGCCACGUGUCCGGGUGAAAUGUGUCCAAUGCUCACUCACCUGGCUGUCAUUAUAAAAGAAUUAGUCAUUUUAACAUUACGCUCUAUGCAUUAAAUAAACUUUAAAUUGUAAGGAAAUUUCUUUCAUUUCUUUUCUGUCGGAGUACGUGCAUCUAAUCAUUGGGUGCACCUGCGUUGCAACGGUGAUACCAUACCCGUUUUUUGUUUUUUUUUUUUUUUAAUUUUUAAGGAAUAUAGUUAUUCAUAUAUUUAGUCAAAUAUGGUCAUAAUAAAAAUAAUAAAGGACUGAAUAUAAAUCAUAUUUAAUUUAUAUGUCAUUAUCUAAUGUUGUAGGAAUGAGGGUAGGUGUAUCGUGGAUAUUAGAAUGAUGAAGGAGACAAUAGAUUAUUAGAUUGAUCUUACUCCUGCAAUUACUUCUGAAUGAUAUUUUAUUAUCUUUCUUAUUUGUUGUUUUGGUGUAAAAGUAUAUGCUACAAUAUUUAUUAUAUUUCUGAGAAAAAUUAUAUAAUUUAUUUGUUAUCAAUACAUUUUAACCUUCAAUUUUCAAUCUAAAAAAAUAUUAUUUUUAUAUUACUGAAUUUUAGUAUUCAUGAUGGACUAGAGCAGAUUUGGAUUUUAAUUUUUUUUCGGAUUUGGAGCAGAUAUAAAUAUUUAUUUCUUUUUUGGAUCUGGAUAUGGAGAGAAAAAUAUGGAUUCAUGACGGAUCUGGAGCAGAUACGAAUCUUGAUUUUUAUUAUGAAUUUGAAUUUAGAGUAGAUUAGAUCCAACCCAUAUUUAUCCCAUUGCCAUCCCUAAAAAAGACAAACAACUGACAUACAUCCCUUUUUUUUUUUUUUUUUUCCCGUUGUUCGUGGCCACCGAGCAUAUUUUCUUAAUUUUUGUUCUUGAAAACGAAAAACAGCAAGUGAAAAACGUUUCCCAACAAUCCUUAACGUCGCACUCAAUGCAAUAAGUGAGUCUUAAAAUGAUAGCCACGUGAUACCAUGUAAUUGAUUUUUUUUUUGAGAAUACCAUGUAAUUAAUUAAAUACAUAGUUUUUCAACAUUUUUUCUAUGGAAUCAUAUAAGUAGGCCACGUGUCCGGGUGAAAUGUGUCCAAUGCUCACUCACCUGGCUGUCAUUAUAAAAGAAUUAGUCAUUUUAACAUUACGCUCUAUGCAUUAAAUAAACUUUAAAUUGUAAGGAAAUUUCUUUCAUUUCUUUUCUGUCGGAGUACGUGCAUCUAAUCAUUGGGUGCACCUGCGUUGCAACGGUGAUACCAUACCCGUUUUUUGUUUUUUUUUUUUUUUGUGAUUUAACUAAUGUUAAAUUUUAUUGAGCACCAUAUACUCCCUUUUAUUCAUAAGAUAUUACGAAAUAUUAUAGUAUUUUUUACUCACAUAUACUGAUAAAAUUCUAUUUAACACCUUACACUCUUUUUAUUUAUUAUUUUUCAUAAGUAUUAAAGUAUUUAUUUGCUUACAUCCAAGACGUAUUAAUCAACAAAAAAUAGUAAUAUAAAUUAAAAGACAACAAUACCCUCAAAUUUCUCUUUCCUCUCACCUUCGUCUCCAUCAUCAUCACUCCUUAUUAUCAUCUUCACCUACAUCUCCACAUAUUUAAAAAAAAAAAAAAGAUAUUAUUUUGCUUCCAAAUCCAAAAUCGACAAAACCCAUAUAUCUUGUUUUCGAAUCCAAAAUCAACAAAAUCUCUAAGAAGAAAAAGAAGAUAUUAUUCUUUUUUGUUUUAAUCUAAAAUCGGAAAAAUCCCCAAAAAAAAACAUGAUCUUGAGGCUCAAACUAACAUUAAUAAACCUGCUUCAUGCUUCUUAACAUAAAUUAUUUCCAACUUAAAAAAUGCUGCACUACCAAAAGACCUAGCUUUAUUCCAAAAUCUACCCAUCAAAUUCCACUUAUCCAAUAUCUUUCUCCCUACUUCAGCAACAACUGCUGCAAGCAAAGUUCAUUGUUGCCGCGGCUUUUCAUGAGCACAAAAGUACAUGAACCCUGCACCUUAUCAAUUUUCUUCAACAUUUGUCAGGAAGGGUAAUUUUGUCCUUCUAAGAUUUAUAAACAAAUUGUAAAUGAAAGGAGUACAAAGUUGCUUAAGUAAAUUUGAGUAGUUAAAUCAUAAAAGACAAAAGUUAGGGCACGAUACAACUGUUGUAGCAUAGGUGGAUCCCUAACCAUUAUGAAAUUUUAAUAUAUGUAUAAAUUUAUAUCCAUCAACAACUCAGUAAUAAAGUUAGAAUCUAAUUAAAUAAUUAAAAUAAAAUAAUUAUUAUUCUUAAAUAGAUUAAAAGAUUAUUUUAUUUUUAUAAAUUUUUAAGAAUAAAAAAUUAUAUUUACAAUAAUACCCCUAAAUCUAAUAAAAUAAAUAAAUCUCAAAAUUUAAAAUGUUAAUUUUUGAAAUUAUAAAUUGUAAUUUUUGUAUUUUUUUUUAAAUUUUUGUAAUCCUAUUUUUCUAGGAGAGUGUGCAUGACGUCCUUUGCUAGAGCAAAUCUUAACUGGAGCUUUUUUGGAGAGUGUGCAUCCCGACCUUUGCUUAAGCAAAUCUUAACCACGGCCUUAAAGAGAAGUAAAGAGUUUAGACAAUGCAAAUUAAAUUAGCAUUUAAAUCUUUCUUUCAAUUUUGAAAAAUUAAAAAAAUAUAAUUACAAAAAGUUAUCACUUAAAAUUUAUAAUUAAAAAAAUUAACAGUUUGAAUUUUAAGAUUUAUUUGUUUUAUUAAGUUUAGGGGCUUUUUAUAAUUAUAUUUUUUUUAUUUUUAAAAAUUUUAUUAGACAAUAAUUUUUUAAUUUAUUUAUGGGUAAAAUAAUCAUUUUACUUAAUUAUUUAACGAAUUCUAACUUUAUUAGUACGAAAGUGGUUGAUUAAUAUAAAUUAAAAAAUAUAAAAAAUCAAAAUUUUAUAGUGAUUAAAUAUAUAUAUAUAUAUAUAUGACAAGAAAAAAUAGUGUAAAAUACUCCCUAAAUUUUAAACAUCGCCAUCCCACCUACACCAGUUAUUUUGUUAUAAUAUUAUACUGUUACAUUUGUUUGAAUUUGACUGCUGCAUACAAUAUUGCGAAAAGAAAAGUGCUUUUUAAUAGUGACUUGCUUUACGCGGAUCAAUUUAUUCUUUACUUCUAUAAAUAAUGGAGUUAACCAAGACUUUCAGCAAACAUAUAAUUAUAUCAGAAAAAAUGGAAUUCUCGGUGAAAUCAAUAGCAUUCAGCAUUGUUAUUGUAACAGUGGUAACAUGGGCAUGCAAAAUUCUGAACUGGGCAUGGCUGAAGCCAAAGAAACUGGAGAAACAGCUAAGACGGCAAGGUUUUAGAGGCAAUUCAUACAGGUUUCUGUUUGGAGACGUGAAAGAACACGGCAUCUUAUCAAGGCAAGCAAAAUCCAAGCCCAUCAGUUUAGAUGAUGAUAUUGCUCCACGUGUCGUUCCACUCUAUGAUCAACGAGAAAAGCUUUAUGGUAAGUAUUUCAAUUCCUUUCAACUGUUAUUGUAAAAAAAAAAAAAAAUUCCUUUCAACUGUUCAAUUCCAUAAGAGUGGAGUUCACGAAUUUUGUCUUGGCACACCCUUUUUAAAAAAUAAGAUAAUUAUGAAUUAUAAAUAUAUUUUUUAAUUUAAAAAUUCUCAAAGAUAACAUAAUUACCCUCAUUCAUCACUUUCUUCCAAAAUUUCACUAUUACUAACUUUCUCUUUCUUAUAUAACAUAUUUCAAUCUUUUUAUCCUUUCUUAGUAAAUCAUGAACGUUCUUUCUUACCUACUGUUAUCAUAUUUGACUUUGUGUUUUAAAAAUUUUACCGAAAUUUAUUUUAUAGGCUUAAAGUCUUAUACAUUUAAACUAAUGCAAAAUAUCUAAUUUUAAUUCUAUAUGAUGGGUAUUGUUCUUUUCACUUUGCAUUAGAUUAUAAUAGGCCUUAAUUUGUUUGUUUAUGUAAGAAUUUCACUUAUUAAUUGCAAUAGUUAUUUCGGGUAAGCAAAAUUUUAGUUAGAGAAGAUGAAGAUGAAGAUGAGAGAGAAAGAUAAUAAUCAAAUAACAAAUCUACUGAAUAAUAUUUACAAAAUAAAAAUUUUAAUUAAAAGAAAAGGUGUAGUGAUGAAAUUAGUGGGUUCAAAUAUCCCAAUCAUAUCAUAAUCUGUAUCGGCAAGUGACCGUUAAAGCCCUACUCUGUUUAUUUGAGAAUUUAAUCAAGGGAAAAUCACCAUUUUUUCACCUUAAGAUGACAAAUUUUAAAAAACGAUUAUUCAAAUAUCCAAAAAAGACUUCAACAAACUUUUGAGGCACUAAAUGAUACAAUUUCACAAAAAUUUGUUUAGGGUUUUGUUUCCCUAAUCAACAGCUUCGAAAUAGUAUACUAUAAAGCUAAAAAUGGCACCUUUGGAAAUUUUGAGCCAAAAAAAAAAUAUUGAUAGAAUUCAAAAGUUAUACGUAUAUUUGGAAUUUUCACGAUUCUUAGGGUUGUAAAAAAUGGUAAUUUCUGUUUAGUCAAACAAUUUAUAGUGGAUUGAUCAAACUCCCGCUGUCUUCCAUGUUUGAAUGACCUAAAUAGAGAGUGAGGAAUCACAAUAAGUAAAUUUGACAACAGGACUGACAAAAAAUUGAUGCAGGUAAAAAUACUUAUUGGUGGAUCGGCCCCAUACCCAUGAUCAACAUCAUGGAUCCUGAUCAAAUAAAAGAGGUAUUCACCAAUAUCAAUGAUUUUCAGAAACCCAAAACAAAUCCACUUGGAAAGAUACUAACGACUGGACUAGCAAUUCGUGAGGGUGAGAAGUGGGCUAAACACAGAAAGAUAAUCAAUCCAGCAUUCCACCAAGAGAAGCUUAAGGUUACUUGUUCAUGUUUAUUUAGAUAUAUAUCUUUAUGUGUACUAACGGAAAAUUAGAUUCCAUAAUGCCAUCAUUUUCUUGCUUUUUUUACAGCUUAUGUUACCUGCGUUCUACCAGAGUUGUACAGAAAUAAUUAGCAAGUGGGAGAAGUUGAUGAUUGGUGAUCAAGGAUCAUGUGAAUUGGAUGUAUGGCCUUAUCUUGUAAAGUUGACGAGUGAUGUGAUUUCUCGAACGGCUUUUGGGAGCAACUAUGAAGAAGGAAUAAGGAUUUUCCAACUCCAAACAGAGCUAGCUGAUAUCGCCUUACAAGCUUUACAGUCGGUUUACAUUCCAGGAUGGAGGUGCACAAAAUAAUCUCAAGUUAAUUUGAAAACAUAUAUAUCCCAAGUUAUUUACUAACUCAUUAAUCAUAAAGUUGAAAUUUACCUAUGCUAACAAUAAGUACUUGUCUCCUAUUUCCUUAGUCUUUUUUAUUUUCAUUUUCAUAAUUUUUUUUAGACGUUAGCACUAUAUAGUGUUGUAAAUAGAUGAAUUUACAUAUUUUAUAAGGGUUUGCCUAUCUUACGUUUAACGUAAAGUACGCUCUCUUACACAGUUGAAAAGUGGGUCCUAGUGGGAUCCAUUGCUGUAAAGAGAGCUGUAACUUACAUUAAACGUAAGGUAGCAACUCCCAUUUUAUAAACAUACCGACAUUUCCACCUAAGAACAACAGUUUCUUGUUAAUCUCUUUUUAGUAAAUUUUACCGCUUAUAUAUAGGUAUGUCCCUACUAAGAGAAAUAGGAGAAUGAAGGAGCUUGACAAGGAAAUACGAGUUUCGCUGGCAGAUAUCAUCAGGAAAAGAGAGAUAGCAAUGAAAACAGGGGAAGCUGCAAAAGAUGACUUAUUAGGUUUACUCAUGGAAUCCAAUCUUAAAGAAAUUAAGGAACAUGGAAACAACAAACUUAAAGGGAUCAGCAGGGACGAUGUUAUCGAUGAGUGUAAGCUAUUUUACUUUGCUGGGCAAGAGACUACUUCAGUUUUGCUUCUUUGGACAAUGGUUUUGUUGAGCAAGCAUCAAGACUGGCAAGCACAUGCAAGAGAAGAGGUUUUGCAAGUCCUUGGUGAUAAGAAACCUGACUUCGAUGGAUUGAAUCGCCUCAAAAUCGUAAGUAUAUAUAAUUUUGGGAUUUCAUUGUAAUCAAUAUUUUCAUCAUACAAUUAAUCCCAAUAAUUCAAAUAAUGAGAAAUAUCGAUAACCAGAUAGUGUGAUAUAUAGU
RNAcentral lists this long non-coding RNA (13460 nucleotides) under Citrus sinensis (sweet orange). Its description in RNAcentral is "long non-coding RNA (CSIN_LNC005369)". Lineage: Eukaryota; Viridiplantae; Streptophyta; Magnoliopsida; Sapindales; Rutaceae. The record is from RNAcentral.